RNAcentral lists this ribosomal RNA (445 nucleotides) under uncultured bacterium. RNAcentral's name for it is "bacterial SSU rRNA". It matches the Rfam family "Bacterial small subunit ribosomal RNA", at positions 331 to 792 of the family's 1533-position model. The record is from RNAcentral.
CCAGACUCCUACGGGAGGCAGCAGUGGGGGAUAUUGCACAAUGGGGGGAACCCUGAUGCAGCGACGCCGCGUGGGUGAAGGAGUAUUUCGGUAUGUAAAGCCCUAUCGGCAGGGAAGAAGCAAGACGGUACCUGACUAAGAAGCCCCGGCUAACUACGUGCCAGCAGCCGCGGUAAUACGUAGGGGGCGAGCGUUAUCCGGAUUUACUGGGUGUAAAGGGAGCGUAGACGGCAGUGCAAGUCUGGAGUGAAAGGCGGGGACUCAACCCCCGGACUGCUCUGGAAACUGUACGGCUGGAGUGCAGGAGAGGUAAGUGGAAUUCCUAGUGUAGCGGUGAAAUGCGUAGAUAUUAGGAGGAACACCAGUGGCGAAGGCGGCUUACUGGACUGUAACUGACGUUGAGGCUCGAAAGCGUGGGGAGCAAACAGGAUUAGAUACCCGCGAC